AUGGCCGGUGGUAAAGGAGUGCAGCAACGCACCACCUCGGGUGGUUCCCAGUCGCCGGCUCCAGAGGAGCGGCGAGGGCGCAACCGCUCCAGGCGCGGCCAUCGCGGUGAGGUCGUGGUUAGGGAGAUCGUGCGCGAGACCGCAAUCAGCGGUAGCGUGCCCAUCACCUUCCCGAUGCUCACGCGCUCGAACUACAGCGAGUGGGCGUUGAUCAUGGAGUGCAACCUUCAUGCGGCAAGCCUCUGGGCUCCCAUGGAGGACGACCUGAUCGAGAGAAAGGAGGACAGGAAAGCCGUGGCAGCCCUCAUGCGCGCCACGCCACCGGAGAUGCACGGCAUGCUCGCGGCGAAGGCAAGCACCAAGGAGGCGUGGGAAGCCAUCCGUACCCAGCGCCUCGGCAGCAACUGCGUGCGCGAGGCGAACCCGCAGAAGCUGCGGGCGGACUUCGAGAACAUCGCCUUCAAGGAGGGCGAGCUCGUCGACGAAUUCGCCAUGCGGAUCUCCAGCCUUGCGUCACAGCUCCGCGCGCUCGGCGACACCAUGGACGACACGAGAGUCGUGCGGAAAUUUCUCCGCGUCGUGCCAUCUCGCUUCGCUCAGGUAGCGGUCUCCAUCGAGACCUUGCUUGAUCUGAGUGAGCUCUCCGUCGAGGAGCUCACGGGCCGGUUGCGGGUGGUCGAGGACCGUCUUGACGACGGCCGCGAGAGCUUCGGCGGCGGACAACUCCUAUUCUCAAAGAAGUGGGAGGCGAGGAAGCGUCAAGGACGUGGUGGCGGUGCCCAGAGUAGCAGAGGCGGCGGUCGCACCCAGGGUGGAGCCGGGCGAGGUGCCGGCAACGACGACCGGGACAAGUGCCGAUAUUGUAGCAUCAAGGGCCACUGGGCCCGUGAGUGCCGCAAGAGGAUGGCUGAUGAGGAUGCCGCGGCCGCGGCGAACCUCGUCGAGGCUGAAGAGGACGGUGGGCCAGCAAUGAUGAUGGCUUGCGUCGAGACCAUGCAGGAGGGCACAGCGCCUCCGGCAACCAUGGUCCCGACAAGCAUCGAAGCCGUGCAGGAGGGCGCAGCACCUCCGGCGACCACGGUGCCGGCAACCGUCAAGUCUGUGCGGGAGGCACGGAGCUCUUCAAAUAAUCCCCUCCCCACAUCGGUAGCGCUCUCCCCGACAACAACGUUCUCGGGAGAUUUCGAUUGGGAGGAGAUGAAGACCCGGGUGUGGGGGAGCCACACCCCGGCAACCACGUCCCUUGUGACGCUGGUCAAGCCCGUGCAAGUUGGCACGGCAAUCGCGGCCCCGACAUCCUCGGGACCCGACAAGCCCGUGCAAGUUGGCACGGCAAAGGCGUACCCGACAUCUUCGGGACCCAAUAAGCCCGUGUCAGGAGGCACGGCAACGACGCAUAUGGUGGGCCAUGUCCCAACCAUGAUGCUGGUGACCAGUGAGACCGUGCAAGAGGCAUGA
Molecule: ribosomal RNA, 1458 nt
Filed under: Triticum aestivum (bread wheat)
Lineage: Eukaryota; Viridiplantae; Streptophyta; Magnoliopsida; Poales; Poaceae
Description: partial small subunit ribosomal RNA
Source: RNAcentral